This 762-nucleotide ribosomal RNA is filed under the name uncultured bacterium. RNAcentral describes it as "bacterial SSU rRNA". It matches the Rfam family "Bacterial small subunit ribosomal RNA", at positions 8 to 796 of the family's 1533-position model. The record is from RNAcentral.
AGAGUUUGAUCAUGGCUCAGAACGAACGCUGGCGGCGUGCCUAAUACAUGCAAGUCGAUCGAGUAGCAAUACUAGAGGCGCACGGGAGAGAAACGCGUAAGUAAUCUGCCCACGAGUGGGGAAUAACCAGUCGAAAGAUUGGCUAAUACCGCAUAAGACCACAAGGCCUGCGGGCCAAGGGGUCAAAGGAGUAAUUCGCUUGUGGAUGAGCUUGCGUCCGAUUAGCUAGUUGGUAGGGUAACGGCCUACCAAGGCGAGGAUCGGUAGCUGGUCUGAGAGGAUGAUCAGCCUCACUGGAACUGAGACACGGUCCAGACUCCUACGGGAGGCAGCAGUAGGGAAUAUUGCUCAAUGGGGGAAACCCUGAAGCAGCAACGCCGCGUGAGUGAUGAAGGCCUUCGGGUCGUAAAGCUCUGUCGCAGGGGAAAAUUCAAGAUGGUACCCUGUAAGAAAGGACCGGCCAACUUCGUGCCAGCAGCCGCGGUAAUACGGGGGGUCCUAGCGUUGUUCGGAAUCACUGGGCGUAAAGCGUUUGUAGGUGGCUUUGUAAGUUGAAUGUGAAAGCCCAGGGCCUAACCCUGGAAGUGCAUUCAAUACUGCAGAGCUUUGAGUAUGGGGAGAGGAAGAUGGAAUAGCUGGUGUAGUGGUGAAAUACGUAGAUAUCAGCUGGAACAUCGGUGGCGAAAGCGGUCUUCUGGCCUAAUACUGACACUGAAAAACGAAAGCGUGGGGAUCAAACAGGAUUAGAUACCCUAGUAGUCC